Molecule: small nucleolar RNA, 148 nt
Organism: Equus asinus (donkey)
Lineage: Eukaryota; Metazoa; Chordata; Mammalia; Perissodactyla; Equidae
Source: Ensembl
GCUCCUUUUCUUGGCGGGGAUCAGGCAUGCAUCCCGGUCCCCAUAAUGUAUGGAGGCAGAGGGAAAGGGCUCCAGCCGUCUCGGCGUUGUGUCUUCAGUGCUGGUGGCUUCCAGUGCGCCGCUUCUGUCCUCAAGCGCCGGGACAUGG